CGCCUCUCUCAGUCUCUGUCUCUAAAACCCACUCUCUUUAAAAGAAUCCACCAAUAAAGGAAGGACUAAACUAAUCCAAUAAACAGAAAGAAAUAUCAUUAAACUACUAAUUCAUGGCUUUGCUUGUCUCUGCCUCUUGCAUGCCCAAAUCUUUACUGUCACCAGCGCCACUGAAACAUAUCUCCCUCAAAGCCCCUACCCUUUCGUUUACUAGUGGAGAACUGCCAAAGAGAACCAAGAAGUUCUCUCCUUUUCAUGUGGCAGCACCCCCGUCACCAUCUAUUCAGAAAGAAGAGGAGGGAGAAGAUAAAGAAGGAGACUUUAGAGUUGAUGAUGAGACUGGAGAGGAGAGUUCUGAUUCCAAGUUCUCUUGGAGGGAUCAUUGGUACCCGGUUUCUUUGGUUGAGGAUUUGGACCCCAGCUUGCCAACCCCGUUUCAGCUUCUGGGUCGAGACUUAGUUCUUUGGUUUGAUAAGG
Molecule: unclassified non-coding RNA, 477 nt
Filed under: Hevea brasiliensis (rubber tree)
Lineage: Eukaryota; Viridiplantae; Streptophyta; Magnoliopsida; Malpighiales; Euphorbiaceae
Source: RNAcentral